AGCGAACGCUGGCGGCAGGCUUAACACAUGCAAGUCGAGCGGGCACUUCGGUGUCAGCGGCAGACGGGUGAGUAACACGUGGGAACGUACCCUUCGGUUCGGAAUAACGCUGGGAAACUAGCGCUAAUACCGGAUACGCCCUUUUGGGGAAAGGUUUACUGCCGAAGGAUCGGCCCGCAUCUGAUUAGCUAGUUGGUGGGGUAAUGGCCUACCAAGGCGACGAUCAGUAGCUGGUCUGAGAGGAUGAUCAGCCACACUGGGACUGAGACACGGCCCAGACUCCUACGGGAGGCAGCAGUGGGGAAUAUUGGACAAUGGGCGCAAGCCUGAUCCAGCCAUGCCGCGUGAGUGAUGAAGGCCUUAGGGUUGUAAAGCUCUUUUGUCCGGGACGAUAAUGACGGUACCGGAAGAAUAAGCCCCGGCUAACUUCGUG
RNAcentral lists this ribosomal RNA (433 nucleotides) under uncultured bacterium. RNAcentral's name for it is "partial 16S ribosomal RNA". It matches the Rfam family "Bacterial small subunit ribosomal RNA", at positions 29 to 507 of the family's 1533-position model. The record is from RNAcentral.